GAAUCUUGCGCAAUGGGCGAAAGCCUGAUCUAGCCAUGCCGCGUGAGCGACGAAGGCCUUAGGGUUGUAAAGCUCUUUCACCGGGGAAGAUAAUGACGGUACCCGGAGAAGAAGCCCCGGCUAACUCCGUGCCAGCAGCCGCGGUAAUACGGAGGGGGCUAGCGUUGUUCGGAAUUACUGGGCGUAAAGCGCGCGUAGGCGGAUUGUUAAGUCGGGGGUGAAAUCCCGGGGCUCAACGCCGGAACUGCCUCCGAUACUGGCAGUCUUGAGUCCGAGAGAGGUGAGUGGAAUUCCGAGUGUAGAGGUGAAAUUCGUAGAUAUUCGGAGGAACACCAGUGGCGAAGGCGGCUCACUGGCUCGGUACUGACGCUGAGGUGCGAAAGCGUGGGGAGCAAACAGG
Molecule: ribosomal RNA, 400 nt
Filed under: uncultured bacterium
Lineage: Bacteria
Description: bacterial SSU rRNA
Rfam family: Bacterial small subunit ribosomal RNA
Source: RNAcentral